UACGGGGGGGGCAAGCGUUGUUCGGAAUUACUGGGCGUAAAGAGCUCGUAGGCGGUCUGUCGCGUCGGUCGUGAAAACUUGGGGCUUAACCCUGAGCUUGCGGUCGAUACGGGCAUGACUGGAGUUCGGCAGGGGAGACUGGAAUUCCUGGUGUAGCGGUGAAAUGCGCAGAUAUCAGGAGGAACACCGGUGGCGAAGGCGGGUCUCUGGGCCGAUACUGACGCUGAGGAGCGAAAGCGUGGGGAGCGAACAGG
RNAcentral lists this ribosomal RNA (254 nucleotides) under uncultured bacterium. RNAcentral describes it as "partial 16S ribosomal RNA". It matches the Rfam family "Bacterial small subunit ribosomal RNA", at positions 524 to 776 of the family's 1533-position model. The record is from RNAcentral.